GAAAACGUAGAAUUCAGGCUAAGGGAGAGGAUGUAGUAAACACUCAGAGAAAACGAGGUUGAAAAACCAAAUGCUGGGGAGGAGCCAAGAUGGCCGAGUAGGAACAGCUCCGGUCUACAGCUCCCAGCGUGAGCGACGCAGAAGACGGGUGAUUUCUGCAUUUCCAUCUGAGGUACCGGGUUCAUCUCACUAGGGAGCGCCAGACAGUGGGCGCAGUUCUGGAAGUUGGAAGUACAAGAUCAGAUUGCCAGCAUCAUCAGGUACUCAUGAGGGCCGUCUUCCAGCUUGCAGACUGCCAACUUCUCAUUGUGUCCUCAGAUUUGAUAUCAAAGUAAUGUCAAGUGCUUCUGACCCACUGCAUUAAACGUGUGCUGAGCAGUUGGUGGUAGAAGACAUUAUUGUGAAGGCUGCUCACCACCAAUUUCAUCACUGUUGCUAACUCCAGCUCAUCUAAUCUCUGCAACAUCUGCUACCAGCACCUUCUCUUGCCUCCUUUUGUGAACAUAGUUUUUUCUUCUGGUUAGAAAAUCAGUUCGAACUUCUUGAGUUUUGUGUUUUAAACUCUUCUCAACUGUUCCGAUGAUUGAUGGAUGGCCCAGAGGCGACCUCUUUAUCUCCAGCAACAUAUUUGGCUGUUGGCCCGGUAGAGAGGUACUCCAGAAGCUUGCUGGUUCAUCAUGCUCUCAUCUUUAACCACAACUAUUUAUCUGACUCCUUCCAUCUCCACAGCACUGUGUGAGGGAUCAGUGAUAAGAGACGGUGAAAGACAUGCGCAAAUGGAUAAAUAAUAAGCAGGAUAUGUAGAAUGACACAACAAUUGAUGAGUAAUUUAGGAGAUCCAAUAACUAAAAAAAAAAAGACUGGGGACAAGUUCAUGGAAAGAGUAAUCAACUAAGCCUUAUAACAUAAAAUUGACAAAUAGAGAAGGCAUGCAAUCCAGUAGAAUAGAGUGCAAAAGAGGUAGAAGACUAAUCGUUUCAAGACAUGUUGAGCCACAACAGCAAUAACAUUGUGACAAAAAACGUCGGUGUAGACUGCAGAAGAUCUUCAAUGACGGAUCAAGCUGUAUAGACUUUUUUUUACCCUCAUAUACUGAAUAGUCAUUUAAGGUAUACAGUGCCAACGUAAGAGAGAAAGGUAAACUUUUUUUAACACAAGUUGUAGGCCUUGGAAAGAAGUUUUCCAGUAACAAGAUAACACGAUAAUGUACUGUGGUUAUAAGCUCAAAGUGGUAUAUUUGAUUCAGUGUUCCCAGAACCACCAAAACCUUGGAACCAUUGUUUAGCUAAAGCUACUAGAACAACAGAAUAACCUACUCUGUGGCAUUGUAAAGUAAAAUUAUACUACACACAAAUACUUGACAUAAAAUACAUUUCCAAACUCAAUUAUUAGGGAUAACAUAAGCACAAAAUGAUGCUUUGCAAACAUCAUGUAUCCUAUAACUGGAGAAAAAAAAUUAAUGACAUGAAGUGAAAUGACUGAGUUCUGAAGCUACAUCUCAAUUUAAAUAGCAUAAGCAAUUUAGUAUACAACAUUCUUCAAAAUCAAUUGUUGAAGGUUAACUAUAAUCUACAUACAAAAACAACUUUGUCAACUUUUUGUACGGAUUUUCCUUCUAAACAUAUUUACUUUAUGUGUAAAAUCAAAAAAUUUCCUGAGUUAAAGGCUAAGACUUGACUUUAUGAAUACAUGCCCAAAAAUUGGUGGUGGCUGGUUUCUGUUUUUAUUUUGUAAGCUUAGUAUAAUGGUUGUCCAGAACUUGUAAGCAAUGACCUCAUUUCUAAGCGGACAAGAUGCAAAAGACCAUUUUUACAGAUUAACCAUCUGGUUCCUUUAGGAAGAGUAAUAUUUCAACAGGUUCCUGUAUUUCAAGAAUAUAAAUAAUUAAAAAGAUGAAGAUAUGUGAAAUACACAAAGAAAAAAAUAGAGAAAAUAGCAUUUAAAGCAAAUUAUCCUAGCUCCCUCAAUUAAUAUUUUAAAACCAUGACAAUCAGUUAUUAAUAUAAAUUGUUAAUUUUAUUUAAUACAACAUCAAUAUAAUUCAUACCAUCUUCUUCAACUAGGUGGUCUAUCAUUUUGGAGUUUCUUUCCACCUCUGGAGAAUUGCUCAGGAAAUCUGGCUAACAUACCAAAUAAAUCAAAUGGAUUUAAUGAGAUGGUUUUUGGCUAGUUUCUAUAUUCUUGUAUACACAUGCAUGUAACACAUAAAUGUGGUGCUGUUCACAGUUAGAGGCGCAAGAGAAAAAAGUAGCUUUCCAGUGUUAUUUCAUUGUUAUUAACUAUACAGUAUUCAGGUGCAAACAAAUGAAAAUCCUGUAUAUUCACGCUAAAAUAUAAUAUGUAUCAAAAUAAGCAUAAAAUAACUGUUUUGGAUAGGUCUUAGGAUGCUGCUGUGGCUUAAUUUGCUCUGUUUAUGUUCUCUCCGCUUUUCUUUAUUGCAUGUGCUAGUUUUGAUGUGUUGUUUGACUAAUAUGUCAUACGGUGAAUUUACUGAGGUCUAUAACAAAAGGCAUGGAUCCAUACACUGGACACAACCUUGAGGGCAUAAGGGAAAAAAAAAAGAAACUAAGUACCAUAGAACAGCCUCAACAAAAUCAGAGCAUGCUUUACACGUGAUUUUCAGUUACACCCUGCUUGUCAUUUGUGAUUACUCAAAACAAUAAUUAAAUUACGUCCUCCAGGAAACAGGAAGGAGUGGAUAACCAAAAUACAUGAAAAGCCCCUACAGUCCCUGUUUGUUCAGAGUAUAGAUCAGCAUUCUUUAGGAGUUCCAUUCUUUUAUUACAGGAAUGAAUAUUGGGUUGAACACGCUUAUAUGCAUUUAGAGGUAAUGUGAUGUAUGAAAACAAGUACUGCAGAGGUUUCCUCUGUAGAACUGUACUUUUAAGAGGAGCAGCCACCAUAAUCUUCUUGUAAAGGUAAACUGGAUCAUGUCAUUUUCAAAUAAAGUCUUCUCUCACUUCAUUUUCCCCUUAAAACAAUAUAUAAAUGAUAAUAGUAGCAACGGUAACAGUAGAAGUGGUAAACUCAACAUAAAAAGCCUACAAGGCUCUUUCCUUGUCUCUUGCUACUCCCACUUCCACUCCAUUUGCAUCUCCAACCACAGAUGCUUUCUUUCUGUGCCCCAAUGAAGCUCUUUAUGUGCCUUUCACAUACUGUUACUUCUGGUUUGUUCUUUAAAUAGAUAAUUAUUUAUUGCCCUUAAAGACUUAAGUUAAAUACCACAUCUGCCAAGAGAUUUCACUUACUGCCUUCCACUCCCAAUCUAAGUCACUUUCUCUGGCUCUCUUAUAUAAGCACAGUUAUGUUUUCCUUAGAAUAUUCAUCACAAUUUGACAUUUUAAUUUGCAUUCAUUUACUUUUUAUCCCCAACUGGACAAUAUGCUCCUUGGAAAUAGGAAAUCAU
This 3406-nucleotide long non-coding RNA is filed under the name Homo sapiens (human). Its description in RNAcentral is "HSALNT0119173". The record is from RNAcentral. Lineage: Eukaryota; Metazoa; Chordata; Mammalia; Primates; Hominidae.